This 270-nucleotide ribosomal RNA is filed under the name uncultured bacterium. Its description in RNAcentral is "partial 16S ribosomal RNA". It matches the Rfam family "Bacterial small subunit ribosomal RNA", at positions 28 to 295 of the family's 1533-position model. The record is from RNAcentral.
GAUGAACGCUAGCGGCAGGCUUAAUACAUGCAAGUCGAACGGUAACAGGUGUAGCAAUACAUGCUGACGAGUGGCAGACGGGUGAGGAACACGUACGCAAUCUUCCUUUUACUGGGGUACAACCCGAAGAAAUUCGGGCUAAUUCCCCAUAACAUUGUUUGAGGGCAUCCGAUAACAAUUAAAACUCCGGUGGUAAAAGAUGAGCGUGCGUCUGAUUAGCUUGUUGGUGAGGUAACGGCUUACCAAGGCAACGAUCAGUAACUGGUGUGA